Molecule: ribosomal RNA, 471 nt
Filed under: Triticum aestivum (bread wheat)
Lineage: Eukaryota; Viridiplantae; Streptophyta; Magnoliopsida; Poales; Poaceae
Description: partial small subunit ribosomal RNA
Source: RNAcentral
AUGCGGCAUGAUGGAGGAGAUGGGCUCCAUCGAAGCCAACAACACACUGCGCCUUGUGGAUCUCCCUCCUGGUCAUCCCUCAGUCGGUUUGAAGUCGGUCUACUAUGUAAAAGAGGAUGCAGGUGGCGUCCUGGUGAAGUACAAAGACAGGAUCAUCGCAAAGGAGUAUGUCCAGAAGCACGAUGUCGACUACGAUGGAAUAUUUGCUCUGGUGGCGAGACUCGAGUCCGUACGCCUCCUCGCUCUCACGGCACGCAUAGGCUAGAUAGUCCACCACAUGCCUUUCUCAAUGGUGAACCUGAAGAGGAGGUUUACAUGCCACAACCUCCAGGGUUGUUCGUCGCUGGCGAGACCAACAAGGUGCUCAAGCUGGACAAGGGGCUCUAUAUAUGGCCUGAAACAAGCCACGCGCUUGGAACACCAUGGUGGACGCGUGCUUCAUGUCGCUUGGGUUCAGCUGGUGCCCUUUAG